CCCGCCUUAGCUCAGUGGCCAGAGCGCCCGACUGUAGAUCGGGCGGUCCCCGGUUCAAAUCCGGGAGGCGGGA
This 73-nucleotide transfer RNA is filed under the name Archaeoglobus sulfaticallidus PM70-1. RNAcentral describes it as "tRNA-Tyr (GTA) (tRNA-Tyr-GTA-1-1)". It matches the Rfam family "tRNA". Rfam says of the family: Transfer RNA (tRNA) molecules are approximately 80 nucleotides in length. The record is from RNAcentral. Lineage: Archaea; Methanobacteriati; Methanobacteriota; Archaeoglobi; Archaeoglobales; Archaeoglobaceae.